AUUGUUGUUUGUUAAAUUUUCAAACCAAAAUAUUUAUAGAGUCGUGUGAUAAUUAAACUUGAUGGCAAGGAAAUAUACAAGAGAACUUAUAGUGAUGAUUAUGGAGUUAAUUAUGCUCAUUCUUAUUAAGGUGCAAGCUAGUGAUCUUGUCAUGAUUCCCUCUUCCAGUCCUCUUCAAGCCCCCUUUCCUCCUUCUGAUCACCUUGAUUAUAAUGGUCAUAGUCCAUUAAAAUUUUGCCUUGAUACCAAACUUGAAAGUUGUGAAGGAAGGAAAAAAAAAUUAAUGCCUAUUCAAUUCAACCGUUGCAUUCAUAUUGCAUAUGCCAAUUGUUUCGGCCAAGCCAUCCCUGGAGACCCAGUGUAUAAACUUGUUAAAGAGUGCUAUGCGUUUUGCAGAGUUUUUGAGGAAAUGGAGUACCCGAUAUAUACAAAUUGUUUGAAAAUAUAUCAUAAUCGUUUCAUCAAAAAGAAGCAUCUAUGAUCUCAAAUUCAAAAUGAGCUGUGUUGGUGAUUUCAAAUUGUGCAAUAAAACGUUACAAGGGAGCUAGAAGGAUCUUGGACUCGGUGCGGAUAGCAACUUUUAUAGAUUAUGAUUAUCUACAAUUAUCUAUCUGAAUUUGAGAGAAUUCGGGCAGGUGACUGUGAGAGAUCACUUAUGGGACUCAUGGUACUUACCUGACCAAAUAAAAAUUGGGCUGUCCAACCACUUAUCUAGUUAGGUGGGUUCCAUAAAUAGUCUAUCACAACUUUUACUGCUCAUUUUGUUUGUCAUUCUUGAAAAUAAGAACAUGUACUUAUUAUUAUGAAAGUAAACUGCUUAAUUAGCGGUAUGUUUGUAGUAAUACAUUCUAUUUACUAA
Alnus glutinosa is the source of this 859-nucleotide long non-coding RNA. RefSeq lists it as uncharacterized. The transcript is spliced from 2 exons. NCBI's taxonomy places the organism in Eukaryota, Viridiplantae, Streptophyta, Magnoliopsida, Fagales, Betulaceae. The record is from RefSeq and is a predicted model, not a curated record.